This is a long non-coding RNA of Nylanderia fulva, 625 nucleotides long. RefSeq lists it as uncharacterized. The record is from RefSeq and is a predicted model, not a curated record. Lineage: Eukaryota; Metazoa; Arthropoda; Insecta; Hymenoptera; Formicidae.
UGCUACGGAAGAAACGUAAGAAACUAAUUCAGUAAUUGAUUGAAUUUUUAACGAUUUCAUACUCAUGCAGAACGAUUUCAUAACGAUAAUCUUUCAGGGAAAUCGAUGCGACCAUUUUGAGUCUCGGAACGCAGUCGAAAGAAUCUAACCUGAAGAAGGAUCUAUCUUCAACAAACAAUGAUGAUAAUUGAAGAAAAUAAACAGGAAGAAGUAAAUAUAAGAGAAGGACAGAUAUUUUACGGGAGGAGAGGAAAUUGUGUAAACUCCAAACUUCGAAAGAUGCAGCGCAAUGAUUUUAUAUAACUUGGACAAAUAUCACUGAGAAAGGAGGACGUCGACUUCCCAUCGUUAAUAUUUCCCGGACCCGAUUUAUACUCGAUAAUUGUAUCAAUAAUAUUUGCUGACUGACUGGCUGGCUGCAAUUUGGUCCAAAUUAAUGGAAGACACUUUCGACAGGAUUGAUUUUGGAUUAUAAUAGGGAGAUUAUAUUAAGGCGCAAAUGUGGAGAGACAUCAAAUCAGCCGUGGACGAAAAUUUCAGAUACCAAAUCACGAAACACACCCGGCGACUUUUGAAGGUAAAUGAUACUGGGCUAAAGAAAUUCAGAUGUCUCCUUGCACGAAAA